This 387-nucleotide ribosomal RNA is filed under the name uncultured bacterium. Its description in RNAcentral is "bacterial SSU rRNA". It matches the Rfam family "Bacterial small subunit ribosomal RNA", at positions 97 to 520 of the family's 1533-position model. The record is from RNAcentral.
GGCAGACGGGAGAGUAACACGUGGGAACGUACCCUUUGGUUCGGAACAACCCAGGAAACUUGGGCUAAUACCGGAUAAGCCCUUACGGGGAAAGAUUUAUCGCCGAAGGAUCGGCCCGCGUCUGAUUAGCUAGUUGGUGGGGUAACGGCCCACCAAGGCGACGAUCAGUAGCUGGUCUGAGAGGAUGAUCAGCCUCACUGGGACUGAGACACGGCCCAGACUCCUACGGGAGGCAGCAGUGGGGAAUAUUGGACAAUGGGCGCAAGCCUGAUCCAGCCAUGCCGCGUGGGUGAUGAAGGCCUUAGGGUUGUAAAGCCCUUUCGGCGGGGAAGAUAAUGACGGUACCCGCAGAAGAAGCCCCGGCUAACUUCGUGCCAGCCGCCGCGG